AAACCUGGGUCCUCUACAAGAGCAGCCAGUGAUCAUAACCCCUGGGCCAUCCCAGGCCCCUAGGGUGUUUUGAUAAGUGCUAGUUUACUGUCCUCCCCAAGGUUCUGAUGGGCAUUUUCAGUGGCUUUCAGGUCUCAAUUGAACCUGAAGAGAGCUAAUGUGGUGUUUUCUCCUCCCAGGAAAGCGGGCCUGUGUUGGUGAGAGUUUGGCCCGGAUGGAGCUCUUCCUGUUCUUCACCACCCUUCUGCAAAAGUUUUCCCUGAAGACUCUGGUGGAGCCCAAGGACCUUGACAUCAAGCCUAUUACUACCGGGAUUAUCAAUUUGCCGCCACCUUACAAGCUGUGCCUUGUUCCUAGAUAAGGGUUUAUCCUUCUAAUCAUUCAAAUCAAAGUAAUUGUUUCCUUUUUCUAUAAAUAUUCUUUUUAUGCUAAGCACUGCCUAGGCCAGAAACAUCAUGCAUGAAAACCACAUGGACAUUUAUUUCGAUUUAAAAAUCUAGGUCUUAAAAGCUUCCAGGACACAGGCAGUGUGUCUGUGUCCCUCAACUGCUCUAGAAACCAGGCCCCAAGCACAACUGACACCAGAUAUGCAAGACCCUCAUCAGACGCCACCUACAAGUAGCACUGUGUGCUCUUCUGUAGCUUUGGAAAUAGAAUUGUUUUCUGUCAUUGUUUCAAUAGAGAAAUUAAUGUAAUGGCCUACGUUCAUUUUCCUGUUCACACUUAAAAACAUUUACAUGAUUUGUGCCACAUUCACA
RNAcentral lists this long non-coding RNA (758 nucleotides) under Rattus norvegicus (Norway rat). RNAcentral describes it as "long non-coding RNA NONRATT003807". Lineage: Eukaryota; Metazoa; Chordata; Mammalia; Rodentia; Muridae. The record is from RNAcentral.